This 651-nucleotide long non-coding RNA is filed under the name Monodelphis domestica (gray short-tailed opossum). RNAcentral describes it as "lncRNA (ENSMODG00000033472.2)". Lineage: Eukaryota; Metazoa; Chordata; Mammalia; Didelphimorphia; Didelphidae. The record is from RNAcentral.
AGGAUGAAGAUUGAGAAAAGGACAUCAGAUUUGAGGAGAGCAGUUUUAGCUGAGUGAUGAGAUCAGAAGCCAAAUGAGGAGGGAUGUAGGAGUGAGGAGGGAAGAGGGAGGAGGAAGGAAGUCAGGGAGUGGAAGAGAGAGAGAGGUGUUUCUCGGAGGACAUUGCAUGCAUGGGGGAAUGGCCUGUACACAGGCACACAGGAGGAAAGGAUAGUGCCAUUUUCAGGGAACUAGGCUAGUUUGGUUGGAAUAUGCUAUAAUGAGCUGUAAAGUGCUCUAGGGAUUCUAAGGAAGGUGAAAUCACUGAGCACUGCAUUGAAGCCAGAUUGUGUUCCUAUGUGGGAGCAAAAACUGAUUUUGACUGAAAGCUUAUGAACACAAGAUCCUUUGAACUGGGAAUGCUUUGGGUGAACUAGAAAUACUCCAUUGGAGUCAUGGAAGAUGGGUCCCCUGCUGAACUCUUCAGAAGUCAACCAUUCACCCCAACACCCCUUCUCUGGUGCAUUUUACUUCAUAUGCUCUGGGAUAAUCAAGAUUACAAGAAGAAAAUGUUAUGUAAUUGCAGCUUAUAAUAUCUUAGAUAAGAAACCUUUGAUUUGAUAUGAAUAGUUUCAGAAAGUAAUAAAUCUAACAAUAAGAUUUUAUAAAGCA